RNAcentral lists this unclassified non-coding RNA (708 nucleotides) under Stylophora pistillata. RNAcentral's name for it is "uncharacterized LOC111346339, transcript variant X1". The record is from RNAcentral. Lineage: Eukaryota; Metazoa; Cnidaria; Anthozoa; Scleractinia; Pocilloporidae.
CUCUCGACUCAGUUUCCCAGCAACCACAUUCAAAAUGGCGCACGGCCUGGGAUUGAGUACUGAAAGUAAUUGAUGUCGCACUUUAUAGUCAGGACGGUUCGUUUCGACAGCUGUGUUACAUUUGACAACCUUUUCUGUAAGAAGAGUAUUCUCUUCUUCACUUUGUACAUCGAAUGUGAGAAGUAACUUGAAACCCUCUUGGAUGAAAAUUCGAAUUUAUACUUCGACAGUGGAGUGAGAGAAGGAGGUAUAUCCGAAGAGGGUCGCCAACUUCGGAGAACAAAAAAAGGACGUCACUUGAGGAUGAAAAAACUGUUGUAUUCCCUCUUGGACAUGUGUAAAUCAACUCAAGAUGUGUUGCUAAAACAGGCAAAGCAGGAAAUAGCCAUGGGGAAAUGUAAGAACAAAGUGGACUGUAUGACUGAAGAAAUCGAAACGUUAAAGAGAAUCACUACAGAGGAUGCUAGGCCUAAACAAGCGAGUAGCAGGGCACAAAGAUGGUGUCUGGGAAAUCGCCGUCGUUAAUUUAGCAGUGGCUAAGAAGAAGGUUGAAAAACUGUUAAUUCACAUAUUCAUUUCAACAAUAAUUAAGAAACUCCUUCCUGGAUUGCCCGAGCUAUUCCUCUCAACUGAGGCCUUUGAUCUAUUGUCGGAUUUUAAACCAAAAAGGUUUUGAUUUAUGAAUAAAUCAAUAUCAUUACUUCACGA